Molecule: long non-coding RNA, 3698 nt
Filed under: Homo sapiens (human)
Lineage: Eukaryota; Metazoa; Chordata; Mammalia; Primates; Hominidae
Source: RNAcentral
AACCUCCGCCUCCUGGGUUCAAGCAAUUCUCCUGCCUCAGCCUCCCGAGUAGCUGGGGUUACAAGCAUGUGCCACCACGCCCGGCUAAUUUUUGCAUUUUUAGUAGAGAUGAGGUUUCACCAUGUUGGCUAGGCUGGUCUCAAACUCCUGACUUCAAGUGAUCCACCUGCCUCAGCCUCCCAAAGUGCUGGGAUUAUGGGAGAGAACGCUGCGUCCAGCUUGUCAAGCUUUUCAACAGCAUACUGAAUAUUUCCACCUGCAUGUCUCCUGGAAUGCUGAAUUCUGCAUUUCCAAAAAUGAGUCAUCAUCAUGUUGGGGCUCAGAGAAUGAUACCCCAAAGUAUGCUCCUCUGGCAUUCUGAGCACUUUUGAAUGAAAGGAAAUUGGAAGGACUUACAAGCUGCCUCAGAACCAAGGACUUUUUAAAGUCUUGUUUCACCACCCCACAUGCAUGCAGGGGCUGUCUGAAAGUUCCCUUAGCUGACUGAGAAACCAAAAGAAAUUCAAUUGUGUACUUGCUUUGGCAGCACAUAUACUAAAAUUGGAAUGAUACAGAGAUUAGCAUAGCCCCUGAGCAAGAAGACAUGCAAAUCUGUGAAGGGAUCCAUUAAAAAAGAAAGAAAGAAAAAGAGCAGGUGUGGUGGCUCACGCCUGUGAUCCCAGCACUUUGGGAGGCCAAGGCGGGCGGAUCACCUGAGGUCGGGAGUUCGAGACCAGCCUGACCAACAGGGAAAAGCCCCAUCUCUGCUAAACAUACAAAAUUAGCCGGGCGUGGUGGUGCAUGCCUGUAAUGCCAGCUACUCUGGAGGCUGAGGCAGGAGCAUCACUUGAACCUGGGAGGUGGAGGUUUCGGUGAGCUGAGAUCACGCCAUUGCACUCCAGCCUGGACAACAAGAGUGAAACUACAUCUCAAAAAAAAAAAAAAGAAAAGAAAAGAAAAAAAAUAGAUGCGACUGUCUUAAAAUUUCCUCCCUAGGACUCUCGUCAAAUAACCAGGAAAUAUUAACUACCAGAGAAGAGAAAAGACUAAAAGUUGUCACCACAUCCAAACAGACUUUUCAUCUAUUCUCCUGAGGACAGCUGAGAUUAUUUAGGAGACUUUAUCUGCAUAAUAAGACAACCUUUAUUUACAGUGAAGUCCUGCACCUCACCUUCCUGAAAUUUGUCACAACCUCCAGCUCCCAGAGCUCAGAGGAACUUUGUCCCAGGCAUUGUUUGGGCUCAUUCCUUUUCCCUAAAAAUAGUUGACUACCUUUCAGUAUUGCUGACCUCCGCUCAUCUCCCUCUCCUCUGCAAAGAUGGUGCUCUUUAAGCUUCAGCCACCUGGCUCUUCUCUGAGUCUCAUAUUCUGUAUGGUAACCAUGCACACUGCAUGUCAGUAAAUUUGUAUGUGCUUUCUCCUGUUAAUCUAUUGCCAGUUUAUUUCAGCAGACUCAAACUGUCAGAGUGGAAGGGAAAAAUUCCCUUCACCCUUACAAUCAUCUCCUCACCUGCCCUUCCCUGUUCUCUGUGCCUGCCCCCUCCAGUCAGCUAUGCCUCUUGACUGGCAAAUUUCUGUGUUCUCCCUGUUAUCCAGGCCCACUCAAAACAAAAAACUGCAAUUCUUCCCUCAUGUCUUCCUCUCUGCUUAGCAGCUAAGUCCCUCCCUUCCAUUUCUAUUUUUUUCUGACUGCUAUUUUAGAACAAAGUGGCAUAGUGCGGGAAAAAAAUGAGGAUUUUAGAACAAGACAGGCCUUAGUCCAAAUCUUAGGUCUACUAUAUUUUGGCUUCCUUGGGUAAAUUACUAACCUCUCUAAGGCUUAGUUUCCAAGUCUGUAAAAUGGGGAUAUUACCCACCCUGUGGAGGCGCUAUGACUUAAGUAUGCAUCAAGUGGUAAAUAGAGGGUCCUUUUCUUAUUUUCACCUCAUAUCAGACACCUCCUGCUCAGAAACCUUCAGAGGUUGCCCAUCACUUGACUAUGACACCUAAGCCAUGCAUUUUGCAUUUUGGCCCCUCUCUCUCAUCACUCUUCCCCCCAAUUACUGGGGCUUGGACUAAUCAAAAACAUUGGUUGAUGGCCAGGAGUGUUGGCUCACAUCUGUAAUCCCAGCACUUUGAGAGGCUGAGGCAGGUGGAUCACCUGAGGUCAGGAGUUCGAGACCAGCCUGGCCAACAUGGCGAAACCCUGUCUCUAUUAAAAAUACAAAAAUUAGCUGGGUGUGGUGGCAGGCUGCUGUAAUCUCAGCUACUUGAGAGGCUGAGGUGAGAGAAUGCUUGAACCCAGGAGGCGGAAGUUGCAGUGAGCCAAAAUCAUGCCACUGCACUCCACUCCAGCCUGGGCAACAGUGCAAGUCUCAAAAAAAAAAAAAAAACCAAAAAAACAGGCAUGGUGGCUCACGCCUGUAAUCCCAGCACUUUGGGAGGCCAAGGUGGGCGGAUCACCUGAGGUCAGGAGUUUGAGACCAGCCUGACCAACAUGGAGAAACCCCAUCUCUACUAGAAAUACAAAAUUAGCUGGGUGUGGUGGCACAUGCCUGUAAUCCCAGCUACUCGGGAGGCUGAGGCAGGAGAAUCCCUUGAACCCGGGAGGCGGAGCUUGCGGUGAGCCAAGAUCGCGCACCAUUGCACUCCAGCCUGGGCAACAAGAGCAAAACUCCGUCUCAAAAAAAAAAAAAAAAAAAAAAAACAAAAGGCUGAUUCCAUUACUCUUUCCUCUUUCCUCCCUGCUUUCACUUUGCCGUUCAAACCAAAUCCUUCUUGAUUAGCUCAGCACCAAGUACUGGCUCCCUCCUCAGCCAUCCCUAUGUGUAGUUCAGUGGCACUUGGGGCCAACUGCUUGUCUUACAGAUUAGGCAACUCUAGAUUACAAAGCACUGAAAGCAGGGGCUUCAUCUGGUUGGUCUUUGACCCUGCAGAGCCCCUUGCACACAGGUGAUGCUCAAUAAAUACUUGGUGAAAGCACAAUUCAUUUUCUGUGUUUCAAUGGGCUUCUUUUCUCUAUAGAAUCAGAUGCUUGGUUAUUCUCACCUCAGCGCUAUUUUGUUGGCUUCCAGAAGGCACAGUAACGCUAGGUGUGUUGUGUUCUAUCCUUUAAUUGGAAGAGCUUUGGGAACUGAAAAAUAAGAAUUAUUUCUCCAAGCCUCAUCUUCUGCCACUCCCCCGUACUCACCGGCCUCAUACAGGAAUUGAACUACUUAGCACUGCACAGAACACGACUUUCUCUCUCACGCCUCCGUUCCUCUGUACUUAGCCUCUGUACUUACGUGCCAUUCCCUUUCCCUGAAAUGCCCUUACUCUGGCUUCUCUGCCUGGCAAAUUCCUACUCAUCCUCCAAGACUCAGAUCAGACAUCGCCGCAUCACAUCUGUGAAGGCUCUUCUGCAAUGGGCAGUGUAGCAGUACCCCCUCCAUUUUUUUAGCUUCCUCAGCAAACUCCAAAUAAUUAUAACAGUACUUAUGGCAUUAUUUGUUUAUUUUUCUUCUACUUCCUAGACCGUGAAUUCCUUAAGGGCCAAGAUUUCUGUUCUAUCCCCAGCACAGUGUUCGGCCUAUAUUGGAGAAUCCGGUCCGUACAAACUCUGCAGUGAUUCAAUCAAUGAGCAAACAAACUCACCAAUCAUUCAACACAGCAGAGUUUGUACGGACCGGAUUCUCAAAUAUUUUAAGACCUGGUCCUCUAUUUGGAGUGCUUCAUUCUGGAAGAUCUCUUCCUCCCCCAAG